Brienomyrus brachyistius is the source of this 1417-nucleotide long non-coding RNA. RefSeq lists it as uncharacterized. The record is from RefSeq and is a predicted model, not a curated record. Lineage: Eukaryota; Metazoa; Chordata; Actinopteri; Osteoglossiformes; Mormyridae. The transcript is spliced from 5 exons.
GGGAGUGAAAAAGUAACGAGAGAGUUGAGGAAGGAGCUACGCUGUGUGUUCGACUGCAGCAGUUCCUCCGGCAACGCUGGAUUACUGCGGAUCGGAUCCACUGGACGGGUGACUUUCCAAGCUUCACUGGGGUUUUUACCAUCACAUCCAAAGUGCCACUUGUCCUGGGCUUUCCGGGAUAGUCCCAAGUUCACUCCAGCUCUGCGCCGGCCGUGCGUGUUUGGAACAUGGACGCACGGAUGGAUCACCAAAUUUUCAUAAAUUCAAAGAAGAAAAUGUAACGCUGGAGAGAAACCCCACCAACAAAGAGCGGCGUGACCAUUUGCGCUGAAGGGCCUCCAACGUGAUGUUGAGUUGCUGUGUCCCGCGUUUGUCCUGCUUCCCGGACCGGCACUUCAUGAAACUGUAAGAAAAGAGGGAAGAAUUAUGAGCUGCUGAGAAACCGUAGUCAGCUGUGGAGGAGAAGAUGCCCCUCAGCUGGGAGGUGACUGGUCCCACUGCUUCCAGAAAACCAGCUUCUGGCCCCGUGCACCACUAGCACGCCUGGGUUAUAUACAAGUCUCCGCUGCUUGAAAUGGUGCUCAUCCAGAUAAUUAUCAUGGUAUGCUUAAAAUUAUUUACUGCCUGCAUUAAAAAUGUACUGUACGGUUAUGCACUUCCCACUUUGUGUUAUUCCACAUAGCUUAUUUGUUGAUUUGUGCUUAGACAAAAAUAAAUGCUCAUUCUUCCUUGCCAUUGAAAAAAUAAUAUAGAACCACUUGGAAAAUACUGUCAUGUCAUGUUGGGGUCAUGCACUGGUACAGCGUGUUGCUGCACCCACUACAUGACGAAACACCCCGGGAUCCCAGUUGGUGACCCAAUCAAAUCAAAAUUUUGGGGCUGAAUCUCUUGGUUGAGAAAGGCAAACACUGGCUGGUGAGCCCUGACACCCUGACGGUCAGAAAGAAGGACCUACUGUCAGAAGACGUGGCCUGAACAGGGAGAAAUGCUAAACACAAACGUUACCAGUUCGGUAAACUCUGCCCAAAUGCAGCACAUGUACAAAAAAAACACUCCAAGUUAAAUAGAAAUACUUACGCAAGAGUUUAAGUGGAAUCUUUAUAAUACUAAAACUCUGUCUACCUUUUCAAAAUUACUACGCAUUUUUUGUCAAGGGCUGAUGUAAAUUUCCAUCUGUACUAUCCCGAGUUUCAAAACAAACAGGAUAGAUAUUUGUGUCCUGUACAGCACUUGAGAUAAGUUUUUAAAGGCUAAUGAUGAAAAUGAGCGUGAAUUUUGUGGUCUAAGAGCAAAUCUAGUCCGGAUCAGUUUAAGGGGUAGAAAAAAUCAAGAGUGCUUGUUUAUUUUACAUGUCCACUGUAACUUGGUGUGUGUUUUUACGUCUUCCGAGAAGCCUUCUGCUUUAUGCUUUCAGGUU